Molecule: ribosomal RNA, 486 nt
Filed under: uncultured bacterium
Lineage: Bacteria
Description: partial 16S ribosomal RNA
Rfam family: Bacterial small subunit ribosomal RNA
Source: RNAcentral
AUUGAACGCUGGCGGCAUGCCGUACACAUGCAAGUCGAACGGCAGCACGGGUGCUUGCACCUGGUGGCGAGUGGCGAACGGGUGAGUAAUACAUCGGAACAUGUCCUGUAGUGGGGGAUAGCCCGGCGAAAGCCGGAUUAAUACCGCAUACGAUCUACGGAUGAAAGCGGGGGACCUUCGGGCCUCGCGCUAUAGGGUUGGCCGAUAGCUGAUUAGCUAGUUGGUGGGGUAAAGGCCUACCAAGGCGACGAUCAGUAGCUGGUCUGAGAGGACGACCAGCCACACUGGGACUGAGACACGGCCCAGACUCCUACGGGAGGCAGCAGUGGGGAAUUUUGGACAAUGGGCGAAAGCCUGAUCCAGCAAUGCCGCGUGUGUGAAGAAGGCCUUCGGGUUGUAAAGCACUUUUGUCCGGAAAGAAAUCCUUGGCUCUAAUACAGUCGGGGGAUGACGGUACCGGAAGAAUAAGCACCGGCUAACUACGUG